RNAcentral lists this ribosomal RNA (264 nucleotides) under uncultured bacterium. Its description in RNAcentral is "partial 16S ribosomal RNA". It matches the Rfam family "Bacterial small subunit ribosomal RNA", at positions 89 to 354 of the family's 1533-position model. The record is from RNAcentral.
CAUGGAGUGGCGGACGGGUGAGUAACGCGUGGGCAACCUGGCCUGUACAGGGGGAUAACACUUAGAAAUAGGUGCUAAUACCGCAUAACGGGGGAAGCCGCAUGGCUUUUCCCUGAAAACUCCGGUGGUACAGGAUGGGCCCGCGUCUGAUUAGCCAGUUGGCAGGGUAACGGCCUACCAAAGCGACGAUCAGUAGCCGGCCUGAGAGGGCGGACGGCCACACUGGGACUGAGACACGGCCCAGACUCCUACGGAAGGCAGCAG